CCGUGAUAUGCGGUCGGUAACCGUUCGUGAUGGUUAUGGCAUAUUAAGCAGAUUAGCCGACUGUAUGUCGGUAGUCACGGCCGUCAGUUGAUGAUUCUGCUGUAUCGUCGAUCACCGGUCAUAAGUCGGUGAUAUUUGUUCAAUCGGUUGAUGAAGAGUCAGAGUCAUCAGUUCGGCCGAUGCUCCAUCGAAGUUGUACGUUCGGUCAGUCGCUAUAUUCGGAUCGGAGUCGAUCAGUUGAAGUCAUACGUUCGGUCGGUCGGCUAUCGUCGAGUCGGAGUCGUGGAGAUCAAAGUCGGGGUCGGUGGGUUUACCCCAACAGUUGCCCCCCACUCUCAAUAUACAAUAAAGUCCAUGAAAUAUAGGGAUAUAAAAUAAGAUCUGAAGCUAGAUAUGGGCACUCUGGCAUGGCCCGACCCAGGUCUUGGCACGGCCCUAGGCUCGGGUCUGGCGGGCCAUGCCAGGCGCGGUCCGUGGUCCGUCAAGCCUUGGGCCUGAUGGGCGAUCUAUUUUUAUUUAUUUAAAAAAAAAUAAUCCAAAUAGAUCAUGCCAGGC
This 555-nucleotide long non-coding RNA is filed under the name Elaeis guineensis (African oil palm). RNAcentral describes it as "long non-coding RNA (EGUI_LNC077483)". The record is from RNAcentral. Lineage: Eukaryota; Viridiplantae; Streptophyta; Magnoliopsida; Arecales; Arecaceae.